GCGCUACGAACCGGAGCAAGGACUGAUCUCGCCUCAUAAUGAGGCGGUGACCUCGUAUUUGCUCCGGGAAAAGUCCAGAUUUAGACGACGUCAUUGUGUCCGCCUGUGAGACGUAUUGUGAGACGGGACGCAGGAGCUUCAGGUUCAGGCGGAACACUCAUUGCGGGCGGAAGCUGCGAAGGAUUCAGUGCGGAGUCGAGCGAGAACAAAGAGGCUGCUGGAAUCGAGACAAAGUGCGCUGGCUGAUGACGAGGUGGAACUCUGGAAAUCCGCCACCGUAGAGCUCACGUCGGACGGAGGGGACGGCGGGGGGAAAAUGACUCCACAUUUCAUGAAUCGCAUUUUCUGCCUGAAACGAUCGCUUCAGCGACCCUCCUGGGUGAGAGCUUGUGGAAGGAAUAAUCCUCUAUAUGUGUCAAGCUAAGAGAAGGAUUUUAGAGGUCAAUCCAUCAGUCUCUAUUUGUCAGUUUACUGGCAUAUUUAACACUUUAUCUUCCGACUAAUGGAAUUUUAAAAGCUAGAUUCAAAUGAGCAACCAUAUCAUUCUCAGGUCAGAAGACUUAUACGUUACAUG
Molecule: long non-coding RNA, 574 nt
Organism: Gasterosteus aculeatus aculeatus (three-spined stickleback)
Lineage: Eukaryota; Metazoa; Chordata; Actinopteri; Perciformes; Gasterosteidae
Source: Ensembl